AUGAUAUGUAUAAAUUCUAUUAUGGUUCAUAAAAUGAUGUUCAUUCUAGACCCAAAUUAUGUACGCUAUUUUCAUAGACAGUACCCUAAUAUUGACCCCAAAUGUCUUUUUCCAGCUCAGAAUUGGCCUAAAGAAAGUGGAAGUGAGAAACACACAGGCCGGUCAGAGGCACACAGCUGCCUUCUCUCCCAGCUGACUUUGGGCAACCACACAAGGCAAAGCCAGAGGAACCAAGAAAGGUAUUAAUUGGCAUCUACUGAACCCCGAAGACCUUCACUAGCAUUAGUGGAGCGUCAAACAAGGAAUGAACUCACUAACCAGGAUGGCCAAAGUGGGAAGCAUGAAGAGAAGUGCAUUCUGAGACUUAUUUUAAAGGAGCCGGGGAGCAAGUGCCAAACCCUUCCGCACACGGGCUCUCACUGUCCCCCUCCCUGCUCCCGGAGGUGGCGAUUAUGUGUCCCUGCUUGGCUCAGGCCUGAAGCACACCCUGGCCGGGAGGCAGCUGGCACUGGCCCAGGCAUGAAUCCGUGCCUACCCCUCCGGGCCCCACUUCCAGCAGGUCACCCGGGUCUGUGUUGUCACCUUGAAACAUUCGAGAGAGUUGUGAGCUUCAGAAGGUGAGACGUGUGGGGCUGGGGGCAGGGCAGGCCAGCCCGGGAGGGUGGCUGGAGAGCUUUUGACAGCCCAGAGCAGAGCCCAGGGUCCUAUUCCUGACAACGUGAGCCCCCAGGCAGGCGCCGAGUGGAUAAGAGUGUAGACAGUGAGGCCGGCCGUGAUGCUUGCCAGCACCUGCAGAUAGCAGGCAAAUAAUUGGCACAUGUUUAAAAAAAAAUUAAAAAGCUAUUGGAUGUGAGUAUUUUCUAACAGCGUCUGGCGGGAGUGCCCGGGAGGAAUUUAAUCAGCAAGAGUUGUUUAAACGGGGCUUUGCACACAGGCCCUGGCGAGGCUCGUAAUGAACUCCGUAUCAUGUGCCACCCCUGUCUGCUGGGGACAUUCAAUUUGUUAAUUCUGCAGCUGGUGAGAGAGGUCAGAUAGGAAAGUGACGAUUGUUUUCUGACGUUCCAGCCCCUGCUCACAUCUUUCUAAUUAAUCCUUUUAGGAGCCACGGGUAGAUUAAGAAGGAGAAAAGGUGCAGGCAGCAAGCGUGAGAGAAAUUGAUGGGAAGACA
RNAcentral lists this long non-coding RNA (1168 nucleotides) under Canis lupus familiaris (dog). RNAcentral's name for it is "lncRNA (ENSCAFG00030015657.1)". Lineage: Eukaryota; Metazoa; Chordata; Mammalia; Carnivora; Canidae. The record is from RNAcentral.